GAGCAGCCCGCGACGCCAGCCCAGCCGUCCGUGACUCCCCCUGCCGACGCCGCUCGGAUCCAAACCCCCCCGCACAGCACCCGCUGUUCGCAAUUGGCAGUGACCCGCGAGUCCCCUUUCCGAACUCUGCCACCUGCUGCCGCCGGAGUUUCUUCCCUGCCAGACCUCUGAUCUGCUGCCCCUCACCGGAGCCGGUGACCAGCCGCACGGACACGAAGCUUGAAAGGGAUAAAAGAAAAAAAAUCAUUUAGGUAGUUCCUUUUUUAUUUACUUUAUUUAUAUACUUAUUUUUUAACGUUAUUCUCACUUAUUUAUUUUUUUCCUUUAGUAGGAUUAUUCCUAAAUAUGUUCCAACAUGAAAGUGCCCCUCAAGCAAGGGAUUGAUAGUCCGAUUUUCGCGCCCGAAAUCCGACUCGCAAUCCCUUAUAAAAAUCGACAAUCCAAUCUCAAGCCCGAGAUUUGAUUCGCGAUUUAAAAUUAAAAUUGGUCAACCCGAUCUCAUGCGCGAGAUACGGUUCGCCAAUUUUUUAGAUAUCAAUAUUAUCUUGCUUGAUUUGAUAUCAUGUGUUUAGAUCAAUUUUAUUUUCAUAAGAGAAAAAAAUCAUAAAAAAAAUUCAAAUUAGGAUUAAGUAUGUUUUAGAAUAUUUUUAGUCUUAGGGUUAAAAUCACAACCUGAUUUCGAAUUUUUUUAAAAUAAAAAAAUCAAAAAGAAAAAUCCGAAUAAGGACUAGGUUUGUUUUUGUUAUCUUGCAUAUUAGGAUUGCAAUCUUAUUAUGAAUUUUUUAAUAAAAAAUCCAAAAAAAAGUGCAUUCAUUUAGGUUGUUAGUUUUUUUUUAUUUGAAUUGCAUGUUAAUUAGGUAUUAAUUUUAAUUUUGAGAUUAAAGAAAACCAUAAAAAAUCAUUGUGCAUAUUAGAUUAGAAUUGCAUGCUUCAUUUUAAAUUUAGAUAAUCUUUUUUAGAUAAAUGGCAUUUUAGAUUUAGAUAAUGUUUUAGUUUAAAUUAGGAUUUAAUAUGACUUAAUCCCUAGUUUAAAUUAGAUAGAAUCUUAAUCUAGCUAUAGAUCAUUUGAGAUUUCAUAAAAUUUGUCUUAGGAUAAAUUAGUUGCAAUUUCUAAGAUAGAUUGCAUUUUUUUAAUAAAAAAUGUCAUAUGCAUAUGUCAUGUAGAAUUAGAGCAUUCUUUGCACGUCAUUGCAUGCUAAGAUUGCAUAUUAUAGGUUUAGAUAAUUUCUCCUAAAUAGAUUGCAUGCUUAUUAGGAAAAUAAAAAUCAUGUGCACGUCAUAUAAAAUUAGUUUCAUAUAAUGCACGUCAUUUAGUGAUUAUUGUUAGGUUUAUUUCUAAUUAGAAAUUGCCUGUCAUUAGAAUUAGGUCAUUAGAUUAAUUUAGAUUGCAUAGUUAAAUGUUGCAUUUCUUAAAUUUUGAAUCUCAUAGAAAAUACAAAAAAAUUAUUUAGAAUAAAUCAUCUCAUGCUUAGGAUAGAUUACAUGCUUAGUUAUGUCAUAUAGCUAAGUCAUGUUGCCAUGUCAUAUCAUUUCAUGUUAAAUUAGUGGCAUGCAUUGCAUAUUGCAUGAUUUUCAUUAAUUAAAUGAAAACAAAACAAAAACUGCGUGUUAAUUAGAAAUCAUAUUUAGGACUGCUGAUGUGAAUUCUAAACUAACAACGCAUACGCUUUCGUUGCUAUGAGGUAAGUCCUGCAAUUUAUUCAUUUGCUUUCUUGAGUGUUAAAUUGGUGGUUUGCGCACCUGCAUGAACACCUCAUAUGUUAGGGAAUUAGUUUUAAAUCAAUCCAAACUUCUUGCCAAACAUUUUUUGAAAAUAAAAAGAAUGGUACCGAAAGGGCAUUAGAGAAAUCUAAUGUAAUCAAGUCCCCGUACCCUUAGUCUCUGGUUCGUAGGAGUAAAGUAAAUCUCCCGUUACUUUACUAGGGUUUCUAAUCGACCCACCAAAAAUAGAUUAGUGGCGACUCCUAGUUAAAAUUCAAUUGCAUGUUAAUAAUUCAAACCUAAGUCGCGAAUUGGUAUGGGCUUGGGAGAGCCCGAGUUAAGUCUAGGCUUAACAAUCCAUUAGCCAAAUCCUAGGUGGUCCAAACCCCGAAAAAUUGGUCGCGACAGUUUUGACAUUCCUGUGAGUGACAAAGGAACGCCCCUCUUCUCGUCGGUGUUGCUCCAUUGCCCCCACAGACUUAAAGUUGUGAUUUUUUUUUUUUUUUUUUGCUUCUUUCUGCCUCUCAUAGGCGUCACGUGCAAGUUAUCACUUUUUGUCACAUUUUCCAUGGCAAAUUUACUUGUUUCAUUUUCUUUUGGUCGUACUUUGAGAGUUGUCCUGAAUUUUCAUUUUUUUCGAAUCUUGUUUUGCAGAGGAGCUCCAAGCUAAUCUAUAUCAUGAACUCCAAACUCGGUCUGGAACUAUAAGAAAUCUCAUUAAUUUCCGACAAGUGUAAGAAAAAGGACAUGUUCCUUCAAAUUUACUCUUUUGUGUUUGCAAUUUUUGAAUUUCUCAUUCAAUUUCUG
Molecule: long non-coding RNA, 2508 nt
Filed under: Eucalyptus grandis
Lineage: Eukaryota; Viridiplantae; Streptophyta; Magnoliopsida; Myrtales; Myrtaceae
Description: long non-coding RNA (EGRA_LNC004024)
Source: RNAcentral